Molecule: ribosomal RNA, 465 nt
Filed under: uncultured bacterium
Lineage: Bacteria
Description: partial 16S ribosomal RNA
Rfam family: Bacterial small subunit ribosomal RNA
Source: RNAcentral
CCUACGGGUGGCAGCAGUAGGGAAUCUUCCACAAUGGACGAAAGUCUGAUGGAGCAACGCCGCGUGAGUGAAGAAGGGUUUAGGCUCGUAAAGCUCUGUUGGUAGUGAAGAAAGAUAGAGGCAGUAACUGGCCCUUAUUUGACGGUACGUAUUUCGAAAGUCACGGCUAACUCCGUGCCAGCAGCCGCGGUGAUACGUAGGUGGCAAGCGUGGACUGGUUUUAUUGGGCGUAAAGCGAGUGCAGGCGGUUCGAUAAGUCUGAUGGGAAAGCCUUGGGCUCAACCGGAGAAUUGCCUCCGAUACUGUUGAACUUGAGUGCAGAAGAGGAGAGUGGAACGCCAGGUGUAGCGGUGGAAUGCGUAGAUAUAUGGAAGAACACCGAUUGCGAAGGCGGCUCUCUGGUCUGCAACUGACGCUGAGGCUCGAAAGCAUGGGUAGCGAACAGGAUUAGAUACCCCUGUAGUC